GAUGAACGCUGGCGGCGUGCCUAAUACAUGCAAGUCGAGCGAACGGACGAGAAGCUUGCUUCUCUGAUGUUAGCGGCGGACGGGUGAGUAACACGUGGAUAACCUACCUAUAAGACUGGGAUAACUUCGGGAAACCGGAGCUAAUACCGGAUAAUAUUUUGAACCGCAUGGUUCAAAAGUGAAAGACGGUCUUGCUGUCACUUAUAGAUGGAUCCGCGCUGCAUUAGCUAGUUGGUAAGGUAACGGCUUACCAAGGCAACGAUGCAUAGCCGACCUGAGAGGGUGAUCGGCCACACUGGAACUGAGACACGGUCCAGACCCCUACGGGAGGCAGCGGUAGGGAAUCUUCCGCAAUGGGCGAAAGCCUGACGGAGCAACGCCGCGUGAGUGAUGAAGGUCUUCGGAUCGUAAAACUCUGUUAUUAGGGAAGAACAUAUGUGUAAGUAACUGUGCACAUCUUGACGGUACCUAAUCAGAAAGCCACGGCUAACUACGUG
Molecule: ribosomal RNA, 497 nt
Filed under: uncultured bacterium
Lineage: Bacteria
Description: partial 16S ribosomal RNA
Rfam family: Bacterial small subunit ribosomal RNA
Source: RNAcentral